AUUUUAUACUUUACAAUUAUUAUUAAGAACGUCUUGCCAAACCCGUCCCGCCAAACCCGUCCCGUAAAAAAAACAUUUAUUUAUAUUAAUGUUGAUCUUAUUUCUGAUAUGUUUAUAAAUUAUUGUCUAAAUAUUUUUGUCGAUGCGGGACGUUGAACCCACACAUUUUUUGCCAGUUGGUUAAUAUAUGUUUAUUU
Molecule: small RNA, 197 nt
Filed under: Arabidopsis thaliana (thale cress)
Lineage: Eukaryota; Viridiplantae; Streptophyta; Magnoliopsida; Brassicales; Brassicaceae
Description: ATSL054520
Source: RNAcentral